GUAGGGUGCGAGCGUUAAUCGGGAAUUACUGGGGCGUAAAGCGUGCGCAGGCGGCUUUGCAAGACAGAGGUGAAAUCCCCCGGGGCUCAACCUGGGGAACUGCCUUUGUGACUGCAAGGCUAGAGUACGGCAGAGGGGGAUGGAAUUCCGCGUGUAGCAGUGAAAUGCGUAGAUAUGCGGAGGAACACCGAUGGCAAAGGCAAUCCCCUGGGCCUGUACUGACGCUCAUGCACGAAAGCGUGGGGAGCAAACAGGAUUAGAUACCCUGGUAGUCCACGCCCUAAACGAUGUCAACUGGUUGUUGGACGGCUUGCUGUUCAGUAACGAAGCUAACGCGUGAAGUUGACCGCCUGGGGAGUACGGCCGCAAGGUUG
Molecule: ribosomal RNA, 374 nt
Filed under: uncultured organism
Description: partial 16S ribosomal RNA
Rfam family: Bacterial small subunit ribosomal RNA
Source: RNAcentral